GUGGGGAAUUUUGGACAAUGGGCGCAAGCCUGAUCCAGCCAUUCCGCGUGCAGGAUGAAGGCCUUCGGGUUGUAAACUGCUUUUGUACGGAACGAAAAGCCUCUGGUUAAUACCCGGGGAUCAUGACGGUACCGUAAGAAUAAGCACCGGCUAACUACGUGCCAGCAGCCGCGGUAAUACGUAGGGUGCGAGCGUUAAUCGGAAUUACUGGGCGUAAAGCGUGCGCAGGCGGUGAUGUAAGACAGUUGUGAAAUCCCCGGGCUCAACCUGGGAACUGCAUCUGUGACUGCAUUGCUGGAGUGCGGCAGAGGGGGAUGGAAUUCCGCGUGUAGCAGUGAAAUGCGUAGAUAUGCGGAGGAACACCAGUGGCGAAGGCAAUCCCCUGGGCCUGCACUGACGCUCAUGCACGAAAGCGUGGGGAGCAAACAGGAUUAGAUACCCCGGUAGUCC
Molecule: ribosomal RNA, 450 nt
Filed under: uncultured bacterium
Lineage: Bacteria
Description: partial 16S ribosomal RNA
Rfam family: Bacterial small subunit ribosomal RNA
Source: RNAcentral